GACGAACGCUGGCGGCGUGCUUAACACAUGCAAGUCGAACGGAAAGGCCCUGCUUUUGUGGGGUGCUCGAGUGGCGAACGGGUGAGUAACACGUGAGUAACCUGCCCUUGACUUUGGGAUAACUUCAGGAAACUGGGGCUAAUACCGGAUAGGAGCUCCUGCUGCAUGGUGGGGGUUGGAAAGUUUCGGCGGUUGGGGAUGGACUGGCGGCUUAUCAGCUUGUUGGUUGGGGAGUGGCUUACCAAGGCUUUGACGGGUAGCCGGCCUGAGAGGGUGACCGGCGACAUUGGGACUGAGAUACGGCGCAGACUGCUACGGGAGGCAGCAGUGGGGAAUAUUGCACAAUGGGCGGAAGCCUGAUGCAGCAACGCCGCGUGCGGGAUGACGGCCUUCGGGUUGUAAACCGCUUUCGCCUGUGGCGAAGCGUGAGUGACGGUAAUGGGUAAAGAAGCACCGGCUAACUACGUG
RNAcentral lists this ribosomal RNA (468 nucleotides) under uncultured bacterium. RNAcentral's name for it is "partial 16S ribosomal RNA". It matches the Rfam family "Bacterial small subunit ribosomal RNA", at positions 28 to 507 of the family's 1533-position model. The record is from RNAcentral.